GGAGUCUAGCAUGUGCGCGAGUCAUUGGGACAUUUUGAAACCUAAAGGCGCAAUGAAAGUGAAGGUUCGCCUUGCGCGGACCCAGGGAGGAUGGGCGGACGUCGUUCCGGCUGCCGCCCCGCACUCCCGGGGCGUCUCGUUCUCAUUGCGAGAAGAGGCGCACCAAGAGCGUACACGCUGGGACCCGAAAGAUGGUGAACUAUGCCUGGUCAGGACGAAGUCAGGGGAAACCCUGAUGGAGGUCCGUAGCGAUUCUGACGUGCAAAUCGAUCGUCGGAACUGGGUAUAGGGGCGAAAGACUAAUCGAACCAUCUAGUAGCUGGUUCCCUCCGAAGUUUCCCUCAGGAUAGCUGGCGCUCGUAGCGUACGAGUUUCAUCCGGUAAAGCGAAUGAUUAGAGGCAUUGGGGUCGAAACGGCCUCAACCUAUUCUCAAACUUUAAAUGGGUGAGAUCUCCGGCUUGCUCGAACUCAAAUUUUAUUAUGAAGCCGCGAGACUCGAAUCAGAGUGCCAAGUGGGCCAUUUUUGGUAAGCAGAACUGGCGCUGUGGGAUGAACCAAACGCCGAGUUAAAGCGCCUAAAUCGACGCUUAUGGGAUACCAUGAAAGGCGUUGGUAACUUAAGACAUCAGGACGGUGGCCAUGGAAGUC
Molecule: ribosomal RNA, 649 nt
Filed under: Phloiotrya bellicosa
Lineage: Eukaryota; Metazoa; Arthropoda; Insecta; Coleoptera; Melandryidae
Description: eukaryotic LSU rRNA
Rfam family: Eukaryotic large subunit ribosomal RNA
Source: RNAcentral